AGAGCGAACGCCGGCGGCGUGCUUAACACAUGCAAGUCGAGUGCGCGCCUGUAGCAAUACAGGUGGCGCACGGCGCACGGGUGCGUAACACGUGGGUAAUCUGCCCUUCGAUGGGGAAUAACUCCGGGAAACCGAAGCUAAUUCCGCAUAACAUUCCUUGGACCUCGGUCUGGGGAUUCAAAGCCGUAAGGCGUCGGAGGAGGAACCCGCGCACGAUUAGUUAGUUGGCAGGGUAACGGCCUACCAAGACUUUGAUCGUCAGC
RNAcentral lists this ribosomal RNA (263 nucleotides) under uncultured bacterium. RNAcentral describes it as "partial small subunit ribosomal RNA". It matches the Rfam family "Bacterial small subunit ribosomal RNA", at positions 26 to 287 of the family's 1533-position model. The record is from RNAcentral.